GCAUGCAAAAAAUAAAAACUGCCAGUGUUUCCUUUCUAACAAGAGGCCAACGAGGAUUCCUCGUGUCUCCCCAAAUAUAUCAACACAUCACGGAUAAAAGUCAGCGCCUAGUAUCGAAAAUGGGGAAAACAACAAAAGACAAGAGAGAUAUUUACUACCGCAUGGCAAAAACUGAAGGGUGGAGAGCAAGGAGUGCUUUUAAACUGAUACAAAUUGAUGAAGAAUAUAAUAUUCUUUCAGGUGUACAAAGAGUUGUUGACCUUUGUGCAGCCCCAGGUAGCUGGAGUCAGGUUUUGUCCCAGAAAUUAAGGUCCAAAAAUGAGAGUGCAGACGAUAAUGUGAAGAUAGUGGCAGUGGAUUUGCAGUCAAUGGCCCCAAUUCCUGGUGUUAUCUGCAUACGGGGUGACAUAACAGAAACCAAUACAGCAGAAAGAAUAAUAAAAGAGUUUGAUGGAUGUCCAGCAGAUCUCGUCAUUUGUGAUGGUGCACCAGAUGUUACUGGUCUACAUGAUCUUGAUGAGUAUGUUCAAUCGCAGUUGUUGCUAGCUGCAUUUAAUAUUACAUCACAUGUUUUGAAGCCAGGUGGAACAUUUCUUGCAAAGGUGUUCCGUGGAAAUGAUAUUGAUUUGGUUUAUUCACAGAUGAAGAUAUUUUUUCCCAGUGUUGUUGUUGUCAAACCAAGCAGCUCACGAAAUUCUAGUAUUGAGGCUUACAUACUGUGCAGGAACUACACACCACCUGAAGGCUACAAACCAACUAUGCUAAAUCCAUUACUUACACAAACAGAUUGUGACUUCAGGUCUCUCACUGAAGUUAACCGUGCUAUUGUUCCUUUUCUAAGCUGUGGAGAUUUGAAUCUGUACUGAUAGACAUCACUCAUUGGCAGAAGAACUGUCAAAUUUCAAGAAGAAGAUAGGUUGUUGUUAUGGCUACUUCAUAAUAGUGACAGUAGCGAAAUGCAUCAAACAAGAAAAGUCCAGGAUGAAACAACAACAAUAUGGAAAGGAUAGAUUGCUGCUCACCACAUAGAGGAGGCAAUGUGUCACAGACAGGUACAGUGAAAAAGACUGCUGAAGCACCUCUGUGUGCCAAAUGGAGAAUGACUUAACUGCAGUCGCAACUGUCCUUACUGGCUGCUUGUUACUUAAAUAACUUCAGUUGUGGGUGGUGCUAGAACCUCACAUGGCCUCCAACAAACAUUUACUAAGUGUUAAUUACUCUGUUAUAGUGUCAGUGGUUUUUGUUUCAGGUUGCAGUAGUUUAUUCUGUGCAGAAACAUAAUGAUUGAAGCAUAUUACUUGUUUCUUAGAAAGGUAUUUUAUCUUGUAGUGUAAAUUUUGUCAAUACUUUGAUGCAGUAAGUGUACCUGUGGAGAAAGUUCCAGAAAGCUUGCAGUUCUUGUGGUACAAAUACAAAUUCUUCCAACAAAUCGAUUUUGUAAUAUUUGUAUGCAAUACAGCAAUUGAACUGGAGUCACUCUGCCAUCUCUUUAUUCACAUCAUGUGGCAGAAUGAUAUUGAAUGUUUCCAACGACUCGGACAGUGUUUGAAUACAUGAGGUUAACGGUUUGUGAUAUACGCUAAGUUCACUACUGAACUAUAAAUUUUGAACAGAAUGGUGUAAUUUCUUGUGAAUUGACAGUGCAGCAUGUGUUUCUGUAAUCCUAAAUGGUACCAAAACAAAUGUGU
RNAcentral lists this unclassified non-coding RNA (1688 nucleotides) under Schistocerca americana (American grasshopper). Its description in RNAcentral is "putative tRNA (cytidine(32)/guanosine(34)-2'-O)- methyltransferase, transcript variant X1". Lineage: Eukaryota; Metazoa; Arthropoda; Insecta; Orthoptera; Acrididae. The record is from RNAcentral.